RNAcentral lists this ribosomal RNA (468 nucleotides) under uncultured bacterium. Its description in RNAcentral is "partial 16S ribosomal RNA". It matches the Rfam family "Bacterial small subunit ribosomal RNA", at positions 28 to 507 of the family's 1533-position model. The record is from RNAcentral.
GACGAACGCUGGCGGCGUGCUUAACACAUGCAAGUCGAACGGAAAGGCCCUGCUUUUGUGGGGUGCUCGAGUGGCGAACGGGUGAGUAACACGUGAGUAACCUGCCCUUGACUUUGGGAUAACUUCAGGAAACUGGGGCUAAUACCCGAUCGGAGCUCCUGCUGCAUGGUGGGGGUUGGAAAGUUUCGGCGGUUGGGGCUGGACUCGCGGCUUAUCAGCUUGUUGGUGGGGUAGUGGCUUAACAAGGGUUUGACGGGUAGCCGGCAUGAGAGGGUGAACGGGCACAUUGCGCCUGCGGUACGGCGCAGUCUCCUAUGGUAGGCAGCAGUGGGGAGUAUUGCACAAUGGGCGGAAGCCUGAUGCAGCAGCGCCGCGUGCGGGAUGCAGGCCUUUGGGUUGUGAACCGCUUUCGCCUGUGACGAAGCGUGAGUGACGGUAAUGGGUAAAGAAGCACCGGCUAACUACGUG